CUAUAAUGCAGUCGGACGGGAUCCAUCGGAGAGCUUGCUCGAAGAUGGUGAGAGUGGCGCACGGGUGCGUAACGCGUGAGCAACCUACCUCUAUCAGGGGGAUAGCCUCUCGAAAGAGAGAUUAACACCGCAUAAUAUCUCUGACCGGCAUCGGUUAGUGAUUAAAUAUUUAUAGGAUAGAGAUGGGCUCGCGUGACAUUAGCUAGUUGGUAGGGUAACGGCUUACCAAGGCGACGAUGUCUAGGGGCUCUGAGAGGAGAAUCCCCCACACUGGUACUGAGACACGGACCAGACUCCUACGGGAGGCAGCAGUAAGGAAUAUUGGUCAAUGGGCGGAAGCCUGAACCAGCCAUGCCGCGUGCAGGAUGACUGCCCUAUGGGUUGUAAACUGCUUUUGUCCAGGAAUAAACCUUUCUACGUGUAUCAAGCUGAAUGUACUGGAAGAAUAAGGAUCGGCUAACUCCGUGCCAG
Molecule: ribosomal RNA, 471 nt
Filed under: uncultured bacterium
Lineage: Bacteria
Description: bacterial SSU rRNA
Rfam family: Bacterial small subunit ribosomal RNA
Source: RNAcentral